This 67-nucleotide transfer RNA is filed under the name Aeromonas media. RNAcentral's name for it is "tRNA-Ser". The record is from RNAcentral. Lineage: Bacteria; Pseudomonadati; Pseudomonadota; Gammaproteobacteria; Aeromonadales; Aeromonadaceae.
GCUGAAAUUGGCAAAAUCUGGAUUCGUAAUGCGAAGGUCGCAGGUUCGACUCCUGUUUCCGGCACCA